This 501-nucleotide ribosomal RNA is filed under the name uncultured bacterium. Its description in RNAcentral is "partial 16S ribosomal RNA". It matches the Rfam family "Bacterial small subunit ribosomal RNA", at positions 30 to 523 of the family's 1533-position model. The record is from RNAcentral.
AUUGAACGCUGGCGGCAGGCUUAACACAUGCAAGUCGAGCGGGGGAAGGUAGCUUGCUACCGGACCUAGCGGCGGACGGGUGAGUAAUGCUUAGGAAUCUGCCUAUUAGUGGGGGACAACAUCUCGAAAGGGAUGCUAAUACCGCAUACGUCCUACGGGAGAAAGCAGGGGAUCUUCGGACCUUGCGCUAAUAGAUGAGCCUAAGUCGGAUUAGCGAGUUGGUGGGGUAAAGGCCUACCAAGGCGACGAUCUGUAGCGGGUCUGAGCGGAUGAUCCGCCACUCUGGGACUGAGACACGGCCCAGACUCCUACGGGAGGCAGCAGUGGGGAAUAUUGGACAAUGGGGGGAACCCUGAUCCAGCCAUGCCGCGUGUGUGAAGAAGGCCUUAUGGUUGUAAAGCACUUUAAGCGAGGAGGAGGCUACUCUAGUUAAUACCUAGGGAUAGUGGACGUUACUCGCAGAAUAAGCACCGGCUAACUCUGUGCCAGCCGCCGCGGUAA